RNAcentral lists this ribosomal RNA (253 nucleotides) under uncultured bacterium. RNAcentral's name for it is "partial 16S ribosomal RNA". It matches the Rfam family "Bacterial small subunit ribosomal RNA", at positions 524 to 776 of the family's 1533-position model. The record is from RNAcentral.
GACAGAGGGUGCAAACGUUGUUCGGAAUUACUGGGCGUAAAGCGCGUGUAGGCGGCCCGGCAAGUCGGAUGUGAAAGCCCUCGGCUCAACCGGGGAAGUGCAUCCGAAACUACCGGGCUCGAGUGUCGGAGAGGGAAGUGGAAUUCCCGGUGUAGAGGUGAAAUUCGUAGAUAUCGGGAGGAACACCAGUGGCGAAGGCGGCUUCCUGGACGAACACUGACGCUGAGACGCGACAGCGUGGGGAGCAAACAGG